Molecule: ribosomal RNA, 1393 nt
Filed under: uncultured bacterium
Lineage: Bacteria
Description: 16S ribosomal RNA
Rfam family: Bacterial small subunit ribosomal RNA
Source: RNAcentral
UUAGAGUUUGUUCCUGGCUCAGGAUGAACGCUAGCGGCAGGCCUAACACAUGCAAGUCGAGGGGUAAUUCUGGUAGCAAUAUCGGAAACGACCGGCGCACGGGUGAGUAACGCGUAUGCAACCUGCCUCUAACUGGGGAAUAGCUUCCGGAAACGGAAAUUAAUGUCCCAUAAUAUCACGAAGACGCAUGUUUUUGUGAUUAAAGCUCCGGCGGUUAGAGAUGGGCAUGCGUGCCAUUAGCUAGUUGGUGAGGUAACGGCUCACCAAGGCUACGAUGGUUAGGGGGUCUGAGAGGAUGAUCCCCCACACUGGUACUGAGACACGGACCAGACUCCUACGGGAGGCAGCAGUGAGGAAUAUUGGGCAAUGGGCGCAAGCCUGACCCAGCCAUGCCGCGUGAAGGAUGAAGGCCCUAUGGGUUGUAAACUUCUUUUGUACGGGACGAAACCCCCGAUCGUGAUCGGGGCUGACUGUACUGUACGAAUAAGCAUCGGCUAACUCCGUGCCAGCAGCCGCGGUAAUACGGAGGAUGCAAGCGUUAUCCGGAUUCAUUGGGUUUAAAGGGUGCGUAGGCGGGAUAAUAAGUCAGUGGUGAAAGCCUGCGGCUUAACCGUAGAAUUGCCAUUGAUACUGUUAUUCUUGAGUACAGUUGAGGUGGGUGGAAUGUGUAAUGUAGCGGUGAAAUGCUUAGAUAUUACACAGAACACCGAUUGCGAAGGCAGCUCACUAAGCUGUUACUGACGCUGAGGCACGAAAGCGUGGGGAGCAAACAGGAUUAGAUACCCUGGUAGUCCACGCUGUAAACGAUGAUCACUCGUUGUUGGCGAUAUACCGUCAGCGACUAAGCAAAAGCAUUAAGUGAUCCACCUGGGGUGUACGACGGCAACGUUGAAACUCAAAGGAAUUGACGGGGGCCCGCACAAGCGGAGGAACAUGUGGUUCAAUUCGAUGAUACGCGAGGAACCUUACCUGGGCUUGAAAGGGGAACGACGUCCCGGGAAACCGGGAUUCUCUUCGGAGCGGUCUCCUAGGUGCUGCAUGGUUGUCGUCAGCUCGUGCCGUGAGGUGUCGGGUUAAGUCCCAUAACGAGCGCAACCCUUAUCGUUAGUUGCCAGCGGGUAAUGCCGGGGACUCUAACGAAACUGCCGGCGUAAGCCGUGAGGAAGGUGGGGAUGACGUCAAAUCAGCACGGCCCUUAUGUCCAGGGCUACACACGUGUUACAAUGGCCGGUACAAAGGGCAGCUACCUGGUGACAGGAUGCUAAUCUCUAAAACCGGUCUCAGUUCGGAUUGAAGUCUGCAACUCGACUUCAUGAAGCUGGAUUCGCUAGUAAUCGCGCAUCAGCAACGGCGCGGUGAAUACGAUCCCGGGCCUUGCACUCACCGCCCGUCA